Molecule: long non-coding RNA, 1699 nt
Organism: Pungitius pungitius (ninespine stickleback)
Lineage: Eukaryota; Metazoa; Chordata; Actinopteri; Perciformes; Gasterosteidae
Exons: 2
Source: RefSeq, a predicted model, not a curated record
AUGGUAGUUGUUCAGUCAGAACUAAAUAAGCCUCUCAGAUGAGAAGCGAAACCCCUUCAAGAAACCUUAACCAGUCCAGUUGCCCUUGAUUUCAACUUUCCUUGUUGAAAUCAAGGUGUAUUGGAACCACUAUAUUGUUGUGUGUAUGUUCUAUACUGACACCUAGUGGCGAAUGUUGAUGUUGAAUGCGGAUAGCUAGCGACUAAAAUAACAGGAAGUGACAUACAGGAUGUGACAUACAGAAGUGUGAUUCAGGAAGUGAUCGUGCCUUCAGUGUUAGCAUCUCAGCUUACCAUCAUCACAAUCCUAUGCCUUAAAGUCCACAAACCGGCUUCAUCUUUUUACAAAUACUAUUUUCCUGCAUUAAAUCCUGCCAAGCACAACACCCCGUCUGUUCAUUGGAGAAUGAGGUGCUGGAGAAUAUAUGUUAAGCUGGCUGUAUAGCUAUAAAAACAAGAAACUUUUAGCGAGGACAGCACACAAGGGCAUAAAUAAACUAAUUUAUUUUAUUAAUACAUAUAGAUUUAGAACAUAGAAAUUACAAUUUAACUUGAUGUAAAAAGAAUAUUUACAAUAAUCACAUUCCAUUAACUUUAUAUCAAUAUAAAGUACUUGUGUUGAUUGAACGUGAAUAGUCUGUGUUGAUUGAACGUGAAUAGUUUGUGUUGAUUGAACGUGAAUAGUUUGUGUUGAUUGAACGUGAAUAGUUUAUGUUGAUUGAACGUGAAUAGUCUGUGUUGAUGGAACACAAUUGUGUUAGUGGCUACCAAAGCAAACAAUUUGUGUGCAACCGAUGUCCACUAUUCAAUUGAGUAAAUCCAAUGAAUUAUUUUUUUCAGUGUACCGUGGUACCCGUACGUAAAAAAAUUGUAAACUUCCUUAACAUAGUGCAGGAUCAGAGGGCACUCACUGCUCCGCUCCAUGUCAUACUACCUGCACGCUGUGACAACUUGAAAGUGAUCACCAGCUUCAAAACAGCUGUUCUGGUGUGGUGGACCCGCCCCUUUUGGGGGAUAAUGAGUUUACGUGGCCCGGUGUACAAAGGGGAAGCACUUCCUGGUGUGCAAAAAAAUCAAUCAGUGGAGUGUAAUGGAGGGAAGGACACGCAGAGGGACGUAGGGGCUUUCAUUCACGGCUCCGUCGACGCACUGAACGCACUCGCACCCCGGGGCCGGACCGAAGGAGAGCGGCUCGUUUCCUGGGAGACUGGAGGAGCUCAGCCCGCUGUAGCCAGGUCACGCCGGGGACAGAGGAGCAAAACCCGGACCGGAUUAGCCGACGACUUGUCCCGAGCGGCGUCCAAACCCCAGCAAAACCCGGACCGGAUUGGCCGACGACUUGUCCCGAGCGGCGUCCAAAACCCAGCAAAACCCGGACCGGAUUUAUAGACUGGCUGACUCGCGUCAACGUGUGAGUCUAUAACGUUCUUUUCCUUUUUCGGUUCCGUGGAUAUUUUUGUGUAAAUAUAUGAACAUUUGAAAGUUUUUUUCCUUUUUGGAUUUCUCCUCUUUUUGGAAGGUGGACAGUGCGUUUUUUUGUUAUGCCUUGCUUGUUUUUUCUUUUUGUGUAAAUAUAUGAACUAUUGAAAGGUUUUCCCUUUUUGGAUUCCUCCUCUUUUUGGAGAGUGGACCGUGCGUUUUUCUUUGUUAUACUUGCUUGUUCUUUCUUUUUGUGUAAAUAUACGAACUAUUGAACGAAA